Molecule: transfer RNA, 74 nt
Filed under: Candidatus Woesearchaeota archaeon
Lineage: Archaea; Nanobdellati; Candidatus Woesearchaeota
Description: tRNA-Cys
Rfam family: tRNA
About the family: Transfer RNA (tRNA) molecules are approximately 80 nucleotides in length.
Source: RNAcentral
GGAGGUGUCGCCAAGUCCGGUAAGGCACAAGGCUGCAACCCUUGCAUGCGUGGGUUCAAAUCCCACCACCUCCU